AGUGAACGCUGGCGGUAGGCCUAACACAUGCAAGUCGAACGGCAGCACAGUAAGAGCUUGCUCUUACGGGUGGCGAGUGGCGGACGGGUGAGGAAUACAUCGGAAUCUACUUUUUCGUGGGGGAUAACGUAGGGAAACUUACGCUACUACCGCAUACGACCUACGGGUGAAAGCAGGGGAUCUUCGGACCUUGCGCGAUUGAAUGAGCCGAUGUCGGAUUAGCUAGUUGGCGGGGUAAAGGCCCACCAAGGCGACGAUGCGUAGCUGGUCUGAGAGGAUGAUCGGCCACACUGGAACUGAGACACGGUCCAGACUCCUACGGGAGGCAGCAGUGGGGAAUAUUGGACAAUGGGCGCAAGCCUGAUCCAGCCAUACCGCGUGGGUGAAGAAGGCCUUCGGGUUGUAAAGCCCUUUUGUUGGGAAAGAAAAGCAGCAGGUUAAUACCCCGCUGUUCUGACGGUACCCAAAGAAUAAGCACCGGCUAACUUCGUG
This 492-nucleotide ribosomal RNA is filed under the name uncultured bacterium. Its description in RNAcentral is "partial 16S ribosomal RNA". It matches the Rfam family "Bacterial small subunit ribosomal RNA", at positions 29 to 507 of the family's 1533-position model. The record is from RNAcentral.